RNAcentral lists this ribosomal RNA (525 nucleotides) under uncultured bacterium. Its description in RNAcentral is "bacterial SSU rRNA". It matches the Rfam family "Bacterial small subunit ribosomal RNA", at positions 8 to 526 of the family's 1533-position model. The record is from RNAcentral.
AGGGUUCGAUUAUGGCUCAGGAUGAACGCUAGCGGCAGGCUUAACACAUGCAAGUCGAGGGGUAACAGGGAUUGCUUGCAAUCCGCUGACGACCGGCGCACGGGUGCGUAACGCGUAUGCAACCUACCUUCUACAGGGGAAUAGUCAAUAGAAAUGUUGAAUAAUACCCCAUACGAUCUUUGAAUAGCAUUAUUUAGAGAAGAAAGUUCCGGCGGUAGAAGAUGGGCAUGCGUCCUAUUAGUUAGUUGGAGAGGUAACGGCUCCCCAAGACAUCGAUAGGUAGGGGUCCUGAGAGGGAGACCCCCCACACUGGUACUGAGACACGGACCAGACUCCUACGGGAGGCAGCAGUGAGGAAUAUUGGACAAUGGAGGCAACUCUGAUCCAGCCAUGCCGCGUGCAGGAAGACUGCCCUAUGGGUUGUAAACUGCUUUUAUACAGGAAGAAAUGUACCUACGUGUAGGUAUUUGACGGUACUGUACGAAUAAGGAUCGGCUAACUCCGUGCCAGCCGCCGCGGUAAUUC